Molecule: microRNA precursor, 96 nt
Filed under: Prunus dulcis (almond)
Lineage: Eukaryota; Viridiplantae; Streptophyta; Magnoliopsida; Rosales; Rosaceae
Description: sRNA ncRNA
Source: RNAcentral
UCUUUGAGAGAGAGAGAGAGAGAGAGAGAGAAGUAUAGGGUUAGGAAUGGGACUACAAACUCUUCUCCCUCUCUCUCUCCCCUAUAUUUAUAAGUC